UACGGGGGGGGGCAAGCGUUGUUCGGAAUUACUGGGCGUAAAGGGCUCGUAGGCGGCCAACUAAGUCCGACGUGAAAUCCCAAGGCUUAACCUUGGAACUGCGUCGGAUACUGGAUGGCUUGAAUUCGGGAGAGGGAUGCAGAAUUCCAGGUGUAGCGGUGAAAUGCGUAGAUAUCUGGAGGAAUACCGGUGGCGAAGGCAAUCCCCUGGACCUGUACUGACGCUCAUGCACGAAAGCGUGGGGAGCAAACAGG
RNAcentral lists this ribosomal RNA (254 nucleotides) under uncultured bacterium. RNAcentral describes it as "partial 16S ribosomal RNA". It matches the Rfam family "Bacterial small subunit ribosomal RNA", at positions 524 to 776 of the family's 1533-position model. The record is from RNAcentral.